This 406-nucleotide ribosomal RNA is filed under the name uncultured bacterium. RNAcentral describes it as "partial 16S ribosomal RNA". It matches the Rfam family "Bacterial small subunit ribosomal RNA", at positions 30 to 526 of the family's 1533-position model. The record is from RNAcentral.
AUUGAACGCUGGCGGCAGGCCUAACACAUGCAAGUCGAACGAGUGGCGCACGGGUGAGUAAAGUCUGGCAAACUGCCUGAUGGAGGGGGAUAACUACUGGAAACGGUAGCUAAUACCGCAUACCAUCAGAUGUGCCCAGAUGGGAUUAGCUAGUUGGUGGGGUAACGGCUCACCAAGGCGACGAUCCCUAGCUGGUCUGAGAGGAUGACCAGCCACACUGGAACUGAGACACGGUCCAGACUCCUACGGGAGGCAGCAGUGGGGAAUAUUGCACAAUGGGCGCAAGCCUGAUGCAGCCACGCCGCGUGUCUGAAGAACGCCUUCGGGUUCUAAAGUACUUUCAGCGGGCAGGCGUUACCCGCAGAAGCAGCACCGGCUAACUCCGUGCCAGCAGCCGCGGUAAUUC